Molecule: long non-coding RNA, 4249 nt
Organism: Rattus norvegicus (Norway rat)
Lineage: Eukaryota; Metazoa; Chordata; Mammalia; Rodentia; Muridae
Source: RefSeq, a predicted model, not a curated record
UUCCAGCAGGCUAGGUCUUCUUGCUGUCUGCAGCUGUUGCUCUUGUGAGAGUGUUUUUGCCCAGUAGUUGCUGGACUUGUGCCCUUCUGUUACUUCCUGUGGAGACCAUCCUUGAAUAUCAGUUAAUGCUAUGGUUCUCCUUAUUGUGACGUCAUACUCUCCUUCCUUGCUCUGCUAUUUUUAUGAGAUUUAUUUUUCCAACAUUCUCUACAAACUCUAACAGUUUGCUUACUGCUUGCCAGUUAACGCAGGACCAGCUCCCAGAAUGAAUGCUUUUUAAUCAACGUUGUUCACUGCUCUAUGCCCCACGGCCUACUGUAAUGUUUGAGACAGGUUGAAGACAGAACAAGCUGGAGAACAAGGAGUCAGAAGAUUAGAAGACAUUUCCAAGCAAACAGGAAGGAGAGAGCAUUGGCCAGGAGUCUUGUGAGACUGAAGGCAGCCCAAGUCCAGUAAUCAGGAAGUUCGGGAGGAAAGAACAUUUGUGAGGCACACCUUUUGAGCACCUGAACUUGGAUCGGGUGACAAAGAAGGAGGUAUAUCUGAGGCUUCCAAGACUGGGCCAAGUGGAAUUAGGUGAAAGACAACUUGAUGAGAAAACCACAUUGCCCAUUGAGAGAGAUACAGCAUGGACACUGUGAAUGACAGCUAUUAACCAAAGCAAGGAACAAGGAAUGAUCACAUUUCAAAUACCAUGCUCUAUGGGAGAGGAGGGGUGGAAUGGAGGAGAGGCAACGAAGAUGCGAAGACAAGAGGUGUCUGUGGAUGAGAAGACUGUGUUUCUAAGGUCAGAAGCCAUGGUAUAGACACGAUGCCCCGAGAGCAGUUGUGGCCAGGUGAGGAAACGGAAGAAUGCACAAGUAGGUCAUGAGUCCCCCAAGUAGAAGCGGAGGAGGUUUGGCAGCUGGCUCAUGGUGCUGGUUACAGGGGAAGGGGUGGCCAUUGCAAUAUUAAAUCAUGGUAUAUGAGUGCAUUGUAUAGAUGAGCCAAGGACAUGAUGUCCGGGCAGUAUUUAAGAAAUUAAUGCCAUAUGUCAGUCAUAGAUCUUGCCAAUCUUUUAUCUGCCUUUCUUUCCACUACUAGCCUUAGAUAGAAGAGAAAUAAAAAGGAAACUGAGUAUUUCUACAGUUCAGCCUACACUCCUGCCCAUCUUAUACAUACAUCAUUCUUUCUUCUAUUAUCUUUCUUUUUUUUGUUGUUUUUGACAGGCUUUUGCUAUGUACUCCAGGCUGCACUCAAACCUGUGGCAAUCCUCUCGGGAUUUACAGCAGUGUGCCAGCAGGUUUCCUUCCUAAUUAAGGUUGUUUGUUUCAAUUUUAAGUCCCUCUUAUCUGUCUUUGUCUCUUCUCUUCUCUUCUCUCCCCUCCCCGCCCUCCUGUCUUUGUUACCUAGGAUGAUUUUGACUUUCUGAACUCAGGUUGAUCCUCCUGCAUCAGCGUUCCCAGUAGCUAGGAUUGCAGGCUUAGGCCACUGUGCUCAGCUUCUUUUCCAUAUCUUCCUUCCUUUUUCCUCCUUCUUUCCAGUCUUAGAUUAUAGAGACCACAAUUAACUAUUUAAAUACAGUGUCGAUCCAUUUCUCAUUUCAAUUGCAUCUUCAUAAUAGUAAUUACAAUGGUCUAGCUUGACUAAUGGAUUUUAUGUGUUUAUGAAGAAACACAUUCAAGGAUAUUUAAAGCAAUGCAUUUCUGGGUAUGGACUUUAAGACAACUUAGGAGUUUGCAUGAGAAAGAUGGGGAAGAAGCUAUGGGGUUCUUCGGGGCUACCAUCAGUGUGCUGACCUGUACAGACUGACCACCCAACAAGGAUCCUUUGAAGCACAUGAGUCAGUAAGGACAUGAAAUAAACACACUGGGGAAGUCUAAGGUUUACAAGGAGGUAAGCUAAUGAUAAAAUGACUCAACUCAAGUAUUAAAGUGAAUAUGCGUUUUAGGGGAAAGUAAAUGUGCUAAAGGAAGGGGGAAAGAACAAAGGGACAGAACGCUAAUGUGUUUGCAAGUAUCAGCAACGAUGAUACCCCAUAAAUGCAAUGGUCAUGGCUCUCUGUCCUUGAGGUCCUGACAAGCAGAUACAUAGGUAGCAGAAGCAGGGGCUUGUUCAAGUAUUUGUGACUGGCCUGGUAUGAGUGAAGUGUUAUUUCCAUAGAAACACGGGCUCUCAAUGUUUCCUAAACAGGACUAUUUGAUGUGGGUCAGUACACACUCUCUAUUGAGUGACAGGCUUCCUGGGAAAUAGUUGUGAAUGUGGCCGUGCUCGUUCAUGCUGGAGGGCUGACCGCUGAGACUCAAGGAGUGGCCGUCAUUCAGAAAGACAUCAAAUACUUCAAAGACUUUUUUUUAAAGCAUUCUUUGGGGGAAUAACUUUAAAUCUGUACCGUUAUAGUAUUCAGAACUCUUCUUGUCUACAGUGGCCUUUGCUUCUCCUGGAAGGGGCUAAGUCAUCAUUUUACGUGUUUCAAGAUGAGAAGUCUGCAACUCAAGGCAGUUCAGGGUCCCAGGGCCACAGAAGUGAGCAGCCCUGGUCCAGAAAGUGCCAGUGGAAGGGCUGGCUGACUCCUGUGUCCUCUACGUGAGAAUAGACAACUGACUAAGCUAUGUCUCUUUUUGCUUUAAGUUCUAGAAAGUUCAAGUUCAGAUUUAAAACACCCAGGAAAGACUUGAUUUGCUCUUAAGGCUUCCACACUUGGGUUCUCGGUUUUUUGUUCCUGAUGGUCCUGGAUAUUUUUUUUUCCUCCAUGUUGCUACAGGCUACAUUUAGUCAUCGGUAGAAUAGGUGUGUGAUAAAUGCAUAAACUUCACAAGAAUUUUAAAAACCCACAAUACUAACAGCAUAUUUCUCCAGAAAGAUCCAGUAAUUAGCUUUUGUAGACUUUUUUAAAAAUUUAUUUAUUUAACGUAUGUGAGUACACUGUCACUUUUCAGACUCACCAGAAGAGGGCAUCAGAUCCCAUUACGGAUGUCUGUGAGCCACCAUGUGGUUGCUGGAAAUCAAACUCAGGAACUUUGGAAGAGUAGUCAGUGCUCUUAACCACUGAGCCAUCUCUCCAGCCCUAGCUUUUGUGAUGUAGAACUCUCAGCUCCUUCUCCAGUACUGUGUCUGCCUGUGUGCCAUCAUGCUUCCUGCCGUGACCAUAAUGGACUAAGUCUCUGAAACUGUGAGCCAACCCCAGUUAAAUGUUGUCCUUUAUAAGAACUGCCAUGGUCAUGAUAUCUCUUCACUGGAAUAGAAGCCCUAACUCCCCCUUCCAUGAUGAUCCCUCAGCCUUGAGAAGACUCCCUCUAGUUCUUGAAGUUACUUCUUAAAUUGGUACAAAUUGAUUUAAGCAUCAUGGCUUACCUGACAAUAAAAUACAGAUUGAGGAUGUUGAUAAUGCUAAAAGACAUGAUGUUAGGAAUUAGAAACAUUUAUAUUCUUCGACUGCAUCUGAGUAAGGUUAGUAAGUGUCCAAAUUGAGCUUUAACUGGAUUUCGAAGUUGAGACAUCUUGAGAUGAAGUAAGUUUGAAUUAUAGGAAACCUAGAGCUACAGUACUGUUUGGUUUGGUAUGGACUGCUAUUUGAGCCAGGGCUUGCCCACACUCAGAGAGUCUUUGCCACUGAACUGCACCAGUCCAUCCACGCUGGAUUUCAAAGUUCAUUGUUUCUCUUACACAAGUGUGCCUGUCUCCCUCAGCCAUGCAAGCCUUUACGGAAUCCAGGAGUGGGAUAAAUGGUGAGGUGUGUACCUACACCCCAAAAGUAAACAGUAGGCCAGCAGGGGCUGAGGAGAAAAGGAGACACAGAAGCAGACUGGGAACUAGGGAUGCCAUGCCAAGUGAGAAAUGUGUUCUUCCUGUAACACAGGAAUUACAAAAAGCUCUGAGGGUGAUGUGUUGUCCUUUCAUCUCAAACUCUCCGGCUCAUUCAUGAGAAAUGACCAGUGCAGACAUACACAAGUAGAUCCCUGAAGUCCAGGAUUGUGACGGUGCCUCAUGGCUGUGGGUUGGGGACAUAGGAGGGAUGAGGUUUGAUUUGGCAAACGACUGAAGUCUACAGAGUAGUCCCUUUCAUGAGGGGAAGGUGAAGAAGGGAAAUGUCUGGGACAGUCUCACGUAGGCUUCUGCAAUCAGCAGCACUGAAGACUAAAAUGAAAUUGAAGAAACUAAAAGGCUAGGCAGGGAAGGGUAGCAUGGUAGGCUAUGAACCCACACUUCCACUCCCAGCCAAUAAACCAAAACAACACGUCACGUCUCAGGGGAUAGCCCAGAUAGGUCU